GAUGAACGCUGGCGGCGUGCCUAAUACAUGCAAGUCGAGCGAACAGACGAGGAGCUUGCUCCUCUGACGUUAGCGGAGGACGGGUGUGUCACACGUGGAUAACCUACCUAUAAGACUGGGAUAACUUCGGGAAACCGGAGCUAAUACCGGAUAAUAUAUUGAACCGCAUGGUUCAAUAGUGAAAGACGGUUUUGCUGUCUCUUAUAGCUGGAUCCGCGCCGCAUUAGCUAGUUGGUAAGGUAACGGCUUACCAAGGCAACGAUGCGUAGCCGACCUGAGAGGGUGAUCGGCCACACUGGAACUGAGACACGGUCCAGACUCCUACGGGAGGCAGCAGUAGGGAAUCUUCCGCAAUUGGCGAAAGCCUGACAGAGCAACGCCGCGUGAGUGAUGAAGGUCUUCGGAUCGUAAAACUCUGUUAUUAGGGAAGAACAAAUGUGUAAGUAACUAUGCACGUCUUGACGGUACCUAGUCAGAAAGCCACGGCUAACUACGUG
This 497-nucleotide ribosomal RNA is filed under the name uncultured bacterium. RNAcentral's name for it is "partial 16S ribosomal RNA". It matches the Rfam family "Bacterial small subunit ribosomal RNA", at positions 28 to 507 of the family's 1533-position model. The record is from RNAcentral.